Molecule: ribosomal RNA, 271 nt
Filed under: uncultured bacterium
Lineage: Bacteria
Description: partial 16S ribosomal RNA
Rfam family: Bacterial small subunit ribosomal RNA
Source: RNAcentral
UACGUAGGGGGCAAGCGUUGUCCGGAAUCAUUGGGCGUAAAGAGCGUGUAGGCGGUUCGGUAAGUCCGCUGUGAAAGUCCAGGGCUCAACCCUGGAAUGCCGGUGGAUACUGUCGGGCUAGAGUCCGGAAGAGGCGAGUGGAAUUCCUGGUGUAGCGGUGAAAUGCGCAGAUAUCAGGAGGAACACCAAUUGCGAAGGCAGCUCGCUGGGACGUUACUGACGCUGAGACGCGAAAGCGUGGGGAGCAAACAGGAUUAGAAACCCGUGUAGU